RNAcentral lists this ribosomal RNA (468 nucleotides) under uncultured bacterium. RNAcentral describes it as "bacterial SSU rRNA". It matches the Rfam family "Bacterial small subunit ribosomal RNA", at positions 328 to 793 of the family's 1533-position model. The record is from RNAcentral.
AGUCCAGACUCCUACGGGAGGCAGCAGUGGGGAAUAUUGCACAAUGGGGGAAACCCUGAUGCAGCGACGCCGCGUGAGUGAAGAAGUAUUUCGGUAUGUAAAGCUCUAUCAGCAGGGAAGAAAUAGCGACCUUUGGGUCGCCAGACGGUACCUGAUUAAGAAGCCCCGGCUAACUACGUGCCAGCAGCCGCGGUAAUACGUAGGGGGCAAGCGUUAUCCGGAUUUACUGGGUGUAAAGGGAGCGUAGACGGCAGCGCAAGUCUGAAGUGAAAUGCCGGGGCUUAACCCCGGAACUGCUUUGGAAACUGUGCAGCUAGAGUGCAGGAGAGGUAAGUGGAAUUCCUAGUGUAGCGGUGAAAUGCGUAGAUAUAAGGAAGAACACCAGUGGCGAAGGCGGAUGACUGGACGGCAACUGACGGUGAGGCGCGAAAGCGUGGGGAGCAAACAGGAUUAGAUACCCCAGUAUAA